RNAcentral lists this ribosomal RNA (710 nucleotides) under Rhodococcus sp. (in: high G+C Gram-positive bacteria). Its description in RNAcentral is "bacterial SSU rRNA". It matches the Rfam family "Bacterial small subunit ribosomal RNA", at positions 87 to 811 of the family's 1533-position model. The record is from RNAcentral. Lineage: Bacteria; Bacillati; Actinomycetota; Actinomycetes; Mycobacteriales; Nocardiaceae.
GUACACGAGCGGCGAACGGGUGAGUAACACGUGGGUGAUCUGCCCUGCACUUCGGGAUAAGCCUGGUAAACUGGGUCUAAUACCGGAUAUGACCAAUGGCUGCAUGGCUGUUGGUGGAAAGGUUUACUGGUGCAGGAUGGGCCCGCGGCCUAUCAGCUUGUUGGUGGGGUAAUGGCCUACCAAGGCGACGACGGGUAGCCGACCUGAGAGGGUGACCGGCCACACUGGGACUGAGACACGGCCCAGACUCCUACGGGAGGCAGCAGUGGGGAAUAUUGCACAAUGGGCGAAAGCCUGAUGCAGCGACGCCGCGUGAGGGAUGACGGCCUUCGGGUUGUAAACCUCUUUCAGCAGGGACGAAGCGAAAGUGACGGUACCUGCAGAAGAAGCACCGGCCAACUACGUGCCAGCAGCCGCGGUAAUACGUAGGGUGCAAGCGUUGUCCGGAAUUACUGGGCGUAAAGAGCUCGUAGGCGGUUUGUCGCGUCGUCUGUGAAAACUCGAGGCUCAACCUCGAGCUUGCAGGCGAUACGGGCAGACUUGAGUACUGCAGGGGAGACUGGAAUUCCUGGUGUAGCGGUGAAAUGCGCAGAUAUCAGGAGGAACACCGGUGGCGAAGGCGGGUCUCUGGGCAGUAACUGACGCUGAGGAGCGAAAGCGUGGGUAGCGAACAGGAUUAGAUACCCUGGUAGUCCACGCCGUAAACGGUG